RNAcentral lists this transfer RNA (77 nucleotides) under Limibacillus halophilus. RNAcentral's name for it is "tRNA-Arg". It matches the Rfam family "tRNA". From Rfam's summary of the family: Transfer RNA (tRNA) molecules are approximately 80 nucleotides in length. Their secondary structure includes four short double-helical elements and three loops (D, anti-codon, and T loops). Further hydrogen bonds mediate the characteristic L-shaped molecular structure. tRNAs have two regions of fundamental functional importance: the anti-codon, which is responsible for specific mRNA codon recognition, and the 3' end, to which the tRNAs corresponding amino acid is attached (by aminoacyl-tRNA synthetases). tRNAs cope with the degeneracy of the genetic code in two manners: having more than one tRNA (with a specific anti-codon) for a particular amino acid; and 'wobble' base-pairing, i.e. permitting non-standard base-pairing at the 3rd anti-codon position. The record is from RNAcentral. RNAcentral also lists the same sequence under 2 other names. Lineage: Bacteria; Pseudomonadati; Pseudomonadota; Alphaproteobacteria; Rhodospirillales; Rhodovibrionaceae.
GCGCCCGUAGCUCAGCUGGAUAGAGCGCUUGCCUCCGGAGCAAGAGGUCAGAGGUUCGAAUCCUCUCGGGCGCGCCA